GGGCUUGCGGCGUGCUAUACAUGCAAGUCGAACGAACUCUGGUAUUGAUUGGUGCUUGCAUCAUGAUUUACAUUUGAGUGAGUGGCGAACUGGUGAGUAACACGUGGGAAACCUGCCCAGAAGCGGGGGAUAACACCUGGAAACAGAUGCUAAUACCGCAUAACAACUUGGACCGCAUGGUCCGAGUUUGAAAGAUGGCUUCGGCUAUCACUUUUGGAUGGUCCCGCGGCGUAUUAGCUAGAUGGUGGGGUAACGGCUCACCAUGGCAAUGAUACGUAGCCGACCUGAGAGGGUAAUCGGCCACAUUGGGACUGAGACACGGCCCAAACUCCUACGGGAGGCAGCAGUAGGGAAUCUUCCACAAUGGACGAAAGUCUGAUGGAGCAACGCCGCGUGAGUGAAGAAGGGUUUCGGCUCGUAAAACUCUGUUGUUAAAGAAGAACAUAUCUGAGAGUAACUGUUCAGGUAUUGACGGUAUUUAACCAGAAAGCCACGGCUAACUACGUGCCAGCAGCCGCGGUAAUACGUAGGUGGCAAGCGUUGUCCGGAUUUAUUGGGCGUAAAGCGAGCGCAGGCGGUUUUUUAAGUCUGAUGUGAAAGCCUUCGGCUCAACCGAAGAAGUGCAUCGGAAACUGGGAAACUUGAGUGCAGAAGAGGACAGUGGAACUCCAUGUGUAGCGGUGAAAUGCGUAGAUAUAUGGAAGAACACCAGUGGCGAAGGCGGCUGUCUGGUCUGUAACUGACGCUGAGGCUCGAAAGUAUGGGUAGCAAACAGGAUUAGAUACCCUGGUAGUCCAUACCGUAAACGAUGAAUGCUAAGUGUUGGAGGGUUUCCGCCCUUCAGUGCUGCAGCUAACGCAUUAAGCAUUCCGCCUGGGGAGUACGGCCGCAAGGCUGAAGGCUGAAACUCAAAGGAAUUGACGGGGGCCCGCACAAGCGGUGGAGCAUGUGGUUUAAUUCGAAGCUACGCGAAGAACCUUACCAGGUCUUGACAUACUAUGCAAAUCUAAGAGAUUAGACGUUCCCUUCGGGGACAUGGAUACAGGUGGUGCAUGGUUGUCGUCAGCUCGUGUCGUGAGAUGUUGGGUUAAGUCCCGCAACGAGCGCAACCCUUAUUAUCAGUUGCCAGCAUUAAGUUGGGCACUCUGGUGAGACUGCCGGUGACAAACCGGAGGAAGGUGGGGAUGACGUCAAAUCAUCAUGCCCCUUAUGACCUGGGCUACACACGUGCUACAAUGGAUGGUACAACGAGUUGCGAACUCGCGAGAGUAAGCUAAUCUCUUAAAGCCAUUCUCAGUUCGGAUUGUAGGCUGCAACUCGCCUACAUGAAGUCGGAAUCGCUAGUAAUCGCGGAUCAGCAUGCCGCGGUGAAUACGUUCCCGGGCCUUGUACACACCGCCCGUCACACCAUGAGAGUUUGUAACACCCAAAGUCGGUGGGGUAACCUUUUAGGAACCAGCCGCCUAAGGUGGGACAGAUGAUUAGGGUGAAGUCGUAACAAAGUGCUUGCCA
RNAcentral lists this ribosomal RNA (1512 nucleotides) under Lactiplantibacillus pentosus. RNAcentral's name for it is "bacterial SSU rRNA". It matches the Rfam family "Bacterial small subunit ribosomal RNA". The record is from RNAcentral. Lineage: Bacteria; Bacillati; Bacillota; Bacilli; Lactobacillales; Lactobacillaceae.